UUGACCUCGGAUCAGGUAGGAAUACCCGCUGAACUUAAGCAUAUCAAUAAGCGGAGGAAUCCAA
This 64-nucleotide ribosomal RNA is filed under the name Fusarium asiaticum. RNAcentral's name for it is "partial 28S ribosomal RNA". It matches the Rfam family "Eukaryotic large subunit ribosomal RNA", at positions 1 to 63 of the family's 3401-position model. The record is from RNAcentral. Lineage: Eukaryota; Fungi; Ascomycota; Sordariomycetes; Hypocreales; Nectriaceae.